CGCCUGUUUAUCAAAAACAUGUCUUUUUGGGUUUUAUCUAAGGUUUGGCCUGCUCCAUGAUUUAUUUAAAUAGCCGCGGUAUUUUGACCGUGCAAAGGUAGCAUAAUCAUUAGUUUUUUAAUUGAAAGCUGGAAUGAAAGGUCGGAUGAGAAAAUAGCUGUCUCAUAUUAAUUUUAUUUGAAUUUUAUUUUUAAGUAAAAAAGCUUAAAUUUAAUAAAAAGACGAGAAGACCCUAUAGAGUUUAAUAGAUUUUGAAUUUAGUUGUUAAAGGGUUUAAUUAUUAUAAGUUUAAUAUAUAUUUUGUUGGGGUGACAUAAGAAUUGAAUGAACUUCUUUUUAUUUUAACAUUGAUUAAUGGUUAAUUGAUCCUGAUUUUUGGAUUUAAAGAAUAAAUUACCUUAGGGAUAACAGCGUAAUUUUUUUGGAGAGUUCUUAUCAAUAAAAAAGAUUGCGACCUCGAUGUUGGAUUAAAGUUAAAUUUUGGUGCAGAAGCUAGAAUUUUA
This 503-nucleotide ribosomal RNA is filed under the name Prionotolytta robusta. Its description in RNAcentral is "partial large subunit ribosomal RNA". It matches the Rfam family "Bacterial large subunit ribosomal RNA", at positions 1797 to 2572 of the family's 2925-position model. Lineage: Eukaryota; Metazoa; Arthropoda; Insecta; Coleoptera; Meloidae. The record is from RNAcentral.